RNAcentral lists this unclassified non-coding RNA (376 nucleotides) under uncultured Chitinophagaceae bacterium. RNAcentral describes it as "contains 16S-23S intergenic spacer region". Lineage: Bacteria; Pseudomonadati; Bacteroidota; Chitinophagia; Chitinophagales; Chitinophagaceae. The record is from RNAcentral.
UCGCGUCUUACGACGGCAGUUUCACUAGAGUUCCCAGCGUUACCUGAUGGCAACUAGUGAUGGGGGUUGCGCUCGUUGCGGGACUUAACCCAACACCUCACGGCACGAGCUGACGACAGCCAUGCAGCACCUUACUACCAGUCCCUUGCGGGAAAGACCCCUUUCAGGAUCGGUCCGGUAGCAUUCUAGCCCAGGUAAGGUUCCUCGCGUAUCAUCGAAUUAAACCACAUGCACCACCGCUUGUGCGGACCCCCGUCAGUUCCUUUGAGUUUCAACCUUGCGGUCGUACUUCCCAGGUGGGAUACUUAAUGCUUUCGCUCAGACACACACAGUUUAUCGCGUAUGUCGAGUAUCCAUAGUUUAGGGCGUGGACUAC